RNAcentral lists this ribosomal RNA (247 nucleotides) under uncultured bacterium. RNAcentral's name for it is "partial 16S ribosomal RNA". It matches the Rfam family "Bacterial small subunit ribosomal RNA", at positions 523 to 769 of the family's 1533-position model. The record is from RNAcentral.
AUACGGAGGAUGCGAGCGUUAUCCGGAUUUAUUGGGUUUAAAGGGUGCGUAGGCGGGAUGUUAAGUCAGCGGUGAAAGUUUGAGGCUCAACCUUAAAAUUGCCGUUGAAACUGGUAUUCUUGAGUAUAAAUGAAGUGGGCGGAAUUUGUGGUGUAGCGGUGAAAUGCAUAGAUAUCACAAGGAACUCCGAUUGCGAAGGCAGCUCACUAAGCUAUAACUGACGCUGAUGCACGAAAGCGUGGGUAUC